GUGCUCAAUUCAGAGCACAUAUACUAAAAUUGAAAUGAUACAGAUAAGAUCAGCAUGACCCUACAUGAAAAUGACACGCAAAUUCAUGGAACAUUCCAUAGUUUU
Small nuclear RNA from Suncus etruscus (white-toothed pygmy shrew), 105 nucleotides. Lineage: Eukaryota; Metazoa; Chordata; Mammalia; Eulipotyphla; Soricidae. The record is from RefSeq and is a predicted model, not a curated record.